CCUACGGGAGGCAGCAGUGGGGAAUAUUGGGCAAUGGAGGAAACUCUGACCCAGCGACGCCGCGUGCGGGAUGAAGGCCUUCGGGUUGUAAACCGCUUUCAGUAGGGAAGAAGCGAAAGUGACGGUACCUACAGAAGAAGCACCGGCUAACUAUGUGCCAGCAGCCGCGGUAAUACAUAGGGUGCAAGCGUUGUCCGGAAUUAUUGGGCGUAAAGAGCUCGUAGGUGGUUCGUCACGUCGGAUGUGAAAAUCUGGGGCUCAACCCCAGACCUGCAUUCGAUACGGGCGAUCUAGAGUGUGGUAGGGGAGACUGGAAUUCCUGGUGUAGCGGUGGAAUGCGCAGAUAUCAGGAGGAACACCAAUGGCGAAGGCAGGUCUCUGGGCCAUUACUGACACUGAGGAGCGAAAGCGUGGGGAGCGAACAGGAUUAGAUACCCUGGUAGUCCACGCCGUAAACGGUGGGCACUAGUUGUGGGAACCUUCCACGGUUUCUGCGACGCAGCUACGCAUAGUGCCCGCCGUCGGGAGGUACGAGUCGCGAAGAAUUAAACUAACGAAGGAAAGUUAGACGGCGUGAGACGUGCCGAACGGACGACGACGAGGGAGGUAGG
This 611-nucleotide ribosomal RNA is filed under the name uncultured bacterium. RNAcentral's name for it is "bacterial SSU rRNA". The stretch from base 1 to 520 matches the Rfam family "Bacterial small subunit ribosomal RNA", at positions 338 to 873 of the family's 1533-position model. The record is from RNAcentral.